GACGAGGGGUCCUAGCGUUGCUCGGAAUCAUUGGGCGUGAAGCGGGUGUAGGCGGCUUCAUAAGUCAGUUGUGAAAGCCCCAAGUUCAACUUGGGAAGUGCUUCUGAUACUGUGAGGCUUGAGUAUGGGAGAGGGCAGUAGAAUUCCUGGUGUAGUGGUGAAAUACGUAGAUAUCAGGAGGAACACCAAUGGCGAAGGCAGCUCGCUGGAACGGUACUGACGCUGAGGCGCGAAAGCGUGGGGAGCGAACAGG
RNAcentral lists this ribosomal RNA (253 nucleotides) under uncultured bacterium. RNAcentral's name for it is "partial 16S ribosomal RNA". It matches the Rfam family "Bacterial small subunit ribosomal RNA", at positions 524 to 776 of the family's 1533-position model. The record is from RNAcentral.